GAUGAACGCUGGCGGCGUGCUUAACACAUGCAAGUCGAACGAAGCAUUUAAGACAGAUUACUUCGGUUUGAAGUCUUUUAUGACUGAGCGGCGGACGGGUGAGUAACGCGUGGGUAACCUGCCUCAUACAGGGGGAUAGCAGCUGGAAACGGCUGGUAAUACCGCAUAAGCGCACAGUACCACAUGGUACAGUGUGAAAAACUCCGGUGGUAUGAGAUGGACCCGCGUCUGAUUAGCUUGUUGGCGGGGUAACGGCCCACCAAGGCGACGAUCAGUAGCCGACCUGAGAGGGUGACCGGCCACAUUGGGACUGAGACACGGCCCAGACUCCUACGGGAGGCAGCAGUGGGGAAUAUUGCACAAUGGAGGAAACUCUGAUGCAGCGACGCCGCGUGAGUGAAGAAGUAGUUCGCUAUGUAAAGCUCUAUCAGCAGGGAAGAUAGUGACGGUACCUGACUAAGAAGCUCCGGCUAAAUACGUG
This 481-nucleotide ribosomal RNA is filed under the name uncultured bacterium. Its description in RNAcentral is "partial 16S ribosomal RNA". It matches the Rfam family "Bacterial small subunit ribosomal RNA", at positions 28 to 507 of the family's 1533-position model. The record is from RNAcentral.